Long non-coding RNA from Ipomoea nil (Japanese morning glory), 279 nucleotides. RefSeq lists it as uncharacterized. NCBI's taxonomy places the organism in Eukaryota, Viridiplantae, Streptophyta, Magnoliopsida, Solanales, Convolvulaceae. The transcript has 2 exons. The record is from RefSeq and is a predicted model, not a curated record.
CCACAUAUAUUAUCUCUAAUGCAUUAGUCUCUCGGGCUAAUGAAUUUUUCAAUGUCCCAGAUGAGAGAUAUAUGUUUGUUUGGUCAAUUAAUAGGAAAACUAUUAUACAAGAUGUUGAUGAUGAUCAACAAUUGGAUUUGCAACCUUCUUCUGACAUGGAUACAAAACCAUUUGGACAAUUGUAUGCCUACAAAUCUAAAAGACAACCAAUCAAUAUCAUUGGAGUUGUGAUUUCUAAACUACCAAGAGAAUUUAUUGUCACCAACAGUACAUGACAAC